GUAUCUGCCUUCCGAUUAUAUUCUGUUUACAUCAGUUCGACAAGGCACUAUUUCAUGAACCACUUCUCAUCUGUUUUAGUUGGCCCUGAGCUUAGCGCCUACCUAGAGAACGGCCUAUGGCCAACGGCUAGACACGGCCAACGCAGCACAGAUAACGCCAGCGAUGAGCUGGUCUUUUUUUGCCAGAAUAUCGAACCCGGAUGGGUCUUUUGAGGGAAAAAGAAGGCUUUGAGCACAGUCUGCUGCUGAUUCGACGGUCCCCCACUCACUAUCUUCGACGUCGCUUAGCUCAUCUUUGGAAUCACAGAGCGAUCGUGAUGACAUCGGCAAGUGAACGUGUCCUGAAUUAGUCAAUAGCGACACUCCCCCGAUGGCCGCCCGAACACCGGUUUGCUCCGCUGAUAUCGUCUGCGGUGCGACGUUCCUAGACACACUCUUCACCGAUGAAUUCCCCAACCACCCAAAGAAGAACGUGGUAAAGCAGCGGACGAAAUGCGGAAAACGAGUGCGCCAAAAGCUAACGGAAUGAAACGAAGGCAAAGAGAAAGAAGACGGCAUGUUUGUCUCAAUGUUGCUAUAUCUGCGAGGUCGGCACUUCAUAUUCGACAUGUUUACGCAACAGAUUAACCUCACAUAUGGAACAAUCGAUGGAAGGAAUCGCGCCGCGGGCGCAUCUUCAGCAAUCUUCCCACGUAGACUCGGGGGUUGGAUGUUUAAGCAACUUAAUGCUGGGAGAGGAACUUUACCUUUGCAAGAAUUGUAACCCGUGGAAGCGUCUAACUAGACACUUUCAGGUCAAAUGCUGCAGACGGUGAAUGAAAUGGAAAUCCCUUUUGCCCGUGAAGCCUAACCGUGACUAAAUUAUUGUUCUUAGCUGCAGAAGUUCAAAACAAUAAAAUAUGGCAGCCAGAUCGCCCAGAAGACAGCACAGGUUAU
Varroa destructor (honeybee mite) is the source of this 936-nucleotide long non-coding RNA. RefSeq lists it as uncharacterized. NCBI's taxonomy places the organism in Eukaryota, Metazoa, Arthropoda, Arachnida, Mesostigmata, Varroidae. The record is from RefSeq and is a predicted model, not a curated record.